RNAcentral lists this ribosomal RNA (660 nucleotides) under Flavobacterium chungangense. Its description in RNAcentral is "bacterial SSU rRNA". It matches the Rfam family "Bacterial small subunit ribosomal RNA", at positions 129 to 787 of the family's 1533-position model. Lineage: Bacteria; Pseudomonadati; Bacteroidota; Flavobacteriia; Flavobacteriales; Flavobacteriaceae. The record is from RNAcentral.
CCUUUCACAGAGGGAUAGCCCAGAGAAAUUUGGAUUAAUACCUCAUAGUAUUAUGUUUCGGCAUCGGGAUAUAAUUAAAGUCACAACGGUGAAAGAUGAGCAUGCGUCCCAUUAGCUAGUUGGUAAGGUAACGGCUUACCAAGGCAACGAUGGGUAGGGGUCCUGAGAGGGAGAUCCCCCACACUGGUACUGAGACACGGACCAGACUCCUACGGGAGGCAGCAGUGAGGAAUAUUGGACAAUGGGCGCAAGCCUGAUCCAGCCAUGCCGCGUGCAGGAUGACGGUCCUAUGGAUUGUAAACUGCUUUUGUACGAGAAGAAACACUCCUAUGUAUAGGAGCUUGACGGUAUCGUAAGAAUAAGGAUCGGCUAACUCCGUGCCAGCAGCCGCGGUAAUACGGAGGAUCCAAGCGUUAUCCGGAAUCAUUGGGUUUAAAGGGUCCGUAGGCGGUUUAGUAAGUCAGUGGUGAAAGCCCAUCGCUCAACGGUGGAACGGCCAUUGAUACUGCUGAACUUGAAUUAUUAGGAAGUAACUAGAAUAUGUAGUGUAGCGGUGAAAUGCUUAGAUAUUACAUGGAAUACCAAUUGCGAAGGCAGGUUACUACUAAUGGAUUGACGCUGAUGGACGAAAGCGUGGGGAGCGAACAGGAUUAGAUACCC